AAUUAAUACAUCACUACGAUUAAAAUAAAAUAUAUUGGUUUUUACAUUAGUUUUAAAAAAUUGUUGUUUUGUUUUGAAAUAGAUGAAACUGUUAGUAUAUUAGGGAAAAUACACUAUCACAGGAUUUAAGAUGGAAGAGGGAUACCACUAACCAUCACAUUAGAGCCACAAGAUGAUUAUUCCAAGCACAAAGAGACACAAUGCAGCCCUAACUGCUGAUCUCCACAGUGGUUCGUGGAGUAAGAGUGUUGUCAGUCGAAGAAAAAGCUACAAGCAAGGGCAAAAAAAGGAGCUUCUCAGUUUCUUCAUUGGUGUUAGUAAAUUAUUUUUAGUUUUGUUAGAUGGAUGCAAAGUUGGUAAGAAUGAGCAAAACAAAUACUAAAAAAUCUAUAUUUUCC
RNAcentral lists this long non-coding RNA (398 nucleotides) under Androctonus crassicauda. The record is from RNAcentral. Lineage: Eukaryota; Metazoa; Arthropoda; Arachnida; Scorpiones; Buthidae.